This 472-nucleotide ribosomal RNA is filed under the name Cryptosporidium parvum. RNAcentral describes it as "partial 18S ribosomal RNA". It matches the Rfam family "Eukaryotic small subunit ribosomal RNA", at positions 572 to 1060 of the family's 1831-position model. The record is from RNAcentral. Lineage: Eukaryota; Apicomplexa; Conoidasida; Eucoccidiorida; Cryptosporidiidae.
ACCCCGCGGUAAUUCCAGCCCCCUACAGUGUAUAAUAGUUGUUGUUGCAGUAAAAAAGCUCGUAGGAGUAUCUCUUUUAUAAUAAUUUAAUAAAAAAAUAUUUUUGAUGAAUAUUUAUAUAACAUUCAACAUAAUUCAUAUUACUAUAUUUUUUUAGUAUAUGAAAUUUUACUUUGAGAAAAUUAGAGUGCUUAAAGCAGGCAUAUGCCUUGAAUACUCCAGCAUGGAAUAAUAUUAAAGAUUUUUAUCUUUUUUAUUGGUUCUAAGAUAAGAAUAAUGAUUAAUAGGGACAGUUGGGGGCAUUUGUAUUUAACAGUCAGAGGUGAAAUUCUUAGAUUUGUUAAAGACAAACUAAUGCGAAAGCAUUUGCCAAGGAUGUUUUCAUUAAUCAAGAACGAAAGUUAGGGGAUCGAAGACGAUCAGAUGCGUCGUAGUCUUAACCAAUGAACUAUGCCUUCUUGAAACAAAGUGG